This 1135-nucleotide ribosomal RNA is filed under the name Klebsiella aerogenes. RNAcentral describes it as "bacterial SSU rRNA". It matches the Rfam family "Bacterial small subunit ribosomal RNA", at positions 10 to 1137 of the family's 1533-position model. The record is from RNAcentral. Lineage: Bacteria; Pseudomonadati; Pseudomonadota; Gammaproteobacteria; Enterobacterales; Enterobacteriaceae.
AGUUUGAUCAUGGCUCAGAUUGAACGCUGGCGGCAGGCCUAACACAUGCAAGUCGAGCGGUAACACAGAGAGCUUGCUCUCGGGUGACGAGCGGCGGACGGGUGAGUAAUGUCUGGGAAACUGCCUGAUGGAGGGGGAUAACUACUGGAAACGGUAGCUAAUACCGCAUAACGUCGCAAGACCAAAGUGGGGGACCUUCGGGCCUCAUGCCAUCAGAUGUGCCCAGAUGGGAUUAGCUAGUAGGUGGGGUAAUGGCUCACCUAGGCGACGAUCCCUAGCUGGUCUGAGAGGAUGACCAGCCACACUGGAACUGAGACACGGUCCAGACUCCUACGGGAGGCAGCAGUGGGGAAUAUUGCACAAUGGGCGCAAGCCUGAUGCAGCCAUGCCGCGUGUAUGAAGAAGGCCUUCGGGUUGUAAAGUACUUUCAGCGAGGAGGAAGGCGUUAAGGUUAAUAACCUUGGCGAUUGACGUUACUCGCAGAAGAAGCACCGGCUAACUCCGUGCCAGCAGCCGCGGUAAUACGGAGGGUGCAAGCGUUAAUCGGAAUUACUGGGCGUAAAGCGCACGCAGGCGGUCUGUCAAGUCGGAUGUGAAAUCCCCGGGCUCAACCUGGGAACUGCAUUCGAAACUGGCAGGCUAGAGUCUUGUAGAGGGGGGUAGAAUUCCAGGUGUAGCGGUGAAAUGCGUAGAGAUCUGGAGGAAUACCGGUGGCGAAGGCGGCCCCCUGGACAAAGACUGACGCUCAGGUGCGAAAGCGUGGGGAGCAAACAGGAUUAGAUACCCUGGUAGUCCACGCCGUAAACGAUGUCGACUUGGAGGUUGUGCCCUUGAGGCGUGGCUUCCGGAGCUAACGCGUUAAGUCGACCGCCUGGGGAGUACGGCCGCAAGGUUAAAACUCAAAUGAAUUGACGGGGGCCCGCACAAGCGGUGGAGCAUGUGGUUUAAUUCGAUGCAACGCGAAGAACCUUACCUACUCUUGACAUCCAGAGAACUUAGCAGAGAUGCUUUGGUGCCUUCGGGAACUCUGAGACAGGUGCUGCAUGGCUGUCGUCAGCUCGUGUUGUGAAAUGUUGGGUUAAGUCCCGCAACGAGCGCAACCCUUAUCCUUUGUUGCCAGCGAUUCGGUCGGGAA